GCGGUCGUGGUGGAAUGGUAGACACGCUAGUUUGAGGUACUAGUGUCAGCAAUGACAUGGCGGUUCAAGUCCGCCCGACCGCA
This 83-nucleotide transfer RNA is filed under the name Fibrobacter sp. Its description in RNAcentral is "tRNA-Leu". It matches the Rfam family "tRNA". From Rfam's summary of the family: Transfer RNA (tRNA) molecules are approximately 80 nucleotides in length. The record is from RNAcentral. Lineage: Bacteria; Pseudomonadati; Fibrobacterota; Fibrobacteria; Fibrobacterales; Fibrobacteraceae.